This 257-nucleotide ribosomal RNA is filed under the name uncultured bacterium. RNAcentral describes it as "partial 16S ribosomal RNA". It matches the Rfam family "Bacterial small subunit ribosomal RNA", at positions 98 to 353 of the family's 1533-position model. The record is from RNAcentral.
CGGGAUGGGUGAGUAAUGUCUGGGAAACUGCCUGAUGGAGGGGGAGUAACUACUGGAAACGGUAGCUAAUACCGCAUAACGUCGCAAGACCAAAGAGGGGGACCUUCGGGCCUCUUGCCAUCAGAUGUGCCCAGAUGGGAUUAGCUAGUAGGUGGGGUAACGGGCUCACCUAGGCGACGAUCCCUAGCUGGUCUGAGAGGAUGACCAGCCACACUGGAACUGAGACACGGUCCAGACUCCUACGGGGAGGCAGCAUG